This 460-nucleotide ribosomal RNA is filed under the name uncultured bacterium. RNAcentral's name for it is "partial 16S ribosomal RNA". It matches the Rfam family "Bacterial small subunit ribosomal RNA", at positions 338 to 795 of the family's 1533-position model. The record is from RNAcentral.
CCUACGGGUGGCAGCAGUGAGGAAUAUUGGUCAAUGGACGGAAGUCUGAACCAGCCAUGCCGCGUGCAGGAAGACGGCUCUAUGAGUUGUAAACUGCUUUUGUACAAGGGUAAACCUGAAUACGUGUAUUCAGCUGAAAGUACUGUACGAAUAAGGAUCGGCUAACUCCGUGCCAGCAGCCGCGGUAAUACGGAGGAUCCAAGCGUUAUCCGGAUUUAUUGGGUUUAAAGGGUGCGUAGGCGGAUUGAUAAGUUAGAGGUGAAAUGUCCGAGCUUAACUCGGGAACUGCCUCUAAUACUGUUGGUCUAGAGAGUAGAUGCGGUAGGCAGAAUGUAUGGUGUAGCGGUGAAAUGCUUAGAGAUCAUACAGAACACCGAUUGCGAAGGCAGCUUACCAAUCUAUAUCUGACGUUGAGGCACGAAAGCGUGGGGAGCAAACAGGAUUAGAUACCCGGGUAGUC